This is a long non-coding RNA of Carcharodon carcharias (great white shark), 476 nucleotides long. RefSeq lists it as uncharacterized. NCBI's taxonomy places the organism in Eukaryota, Metazoa, Chordata, Chondrichthyes, Lamniformes, Lamnidae. The transcript is spliced from 3 exons. The record is from RefSeq and is a predicted model, not a curated record.
UGCUGUUUUAGUGGGUAACCAAUGGGCAAGUGUCCCAACUUCAUGCCAUUGCAUUAAUUUUAGUGCCAGGUCUGUCAUAAAGGACUGUUACAGUGCAGCCUUUGGAGGAGCUGGGCAUCUCUUGGACAAGCUUCCAUAUUGUUCUGUCGAAGGGUCAUGAGGACUCGAAACGUCAACUCUUUUCUUCUCCGCCGAUGCUGCCAGACCUGCUGAGUUUUUCCAGGUUUGGAACACGGAAGUCCUGCAUCUCCAAUUUCUCAAUUACAACCCUUGACUCUGAAUGCACGCAGUGAGAGAUUUCACCGCACAAACUCAUUCACCUUUCGUCCACUGAGUAUUCAAACGGAUUUUUCAGAAGCCUAAAGAUAUGGGUCUGACCUGCUGUGUGCAGCACUUGCUGUGUUUAUUUCAGAGUUCCAGCAUCCGCUGUAUUCUGCUUUUCAAUUUCAGUCGAGGAGCCCUGAAAGGAGAACUUG